Molecule: small RNA, 321 nt
Filed under: Microtus ochrogaster (prairie vole)
Lineage: Eukaryota; Metazoa; Chordata; Mammalia; Rodentia; Cricetidae
Description: 7SK RNA (ENSMOCG00000010385.1)
Rfam family: 7SK RNA
About the family: 7SK was discovered as an abundant small nuclear RNA in the mid-70s but a possible function has only recently been suggested. Two independent studies have found that 7SK RNA binds the CDK9/cyclin T complex (known as elongation factor P-TEFb).
Source: RNAcentral
GGAUGGGAAAGCGGUCUGUGACAGCUACCACCCCAAUGACCAUCAGUGUUAAACUAGGCUGAUCUGGCUAGCUAGGAGAGUGUCCCCUUUCUCCUUCACCACCCACAUGAAUCCCUCCUGAAACAGAAUCAAAUGGUCAAGGAGUAGAACCUUCCCAGGUAGAGCCGUCCUGAGGAAGCUGUUCUUUGGCCAAGGAUAUGCGAGUCGCUGCCUUCUCCAGCUAGAACCUCCAGACGCGCAAAGUCUCCCUUCUCCACCUUCUCCAUGGUAAGAGUAAAUGACAGGAUGCUUCCUAGAGUGCAGCAUUUAUCUGUUCGUUUA